RNAcentral lists this ribosomal RNA (198 nucleotides) under uncultured bacterium. RNAcentral's name for it is "partial 16S ribosomal RNA". It matches the Rfam family "Bacterial small subunit ribosomal RNA", at positions 328 to 539 of the family's 1533-position model. The record is from RNAcentral.
ACGCUCGACACCUACGGGAGACAGCAGUGAGGGAUAUUGGUCAAUGGGGGAAACCCUGAACCAGCAACGCCGCGUGAGGGAUGACGGUCUUCGGAUUGUAAACCUCUGUCCUCUGUGAAGAUAAUGACGGUAGCAGAGGAGGAAGCUCCGGCUAACUACGUGCCAGCAGCCGCGGUAAUCUGAGCGGGCUGGCAAGGC